This is a small nuclear RNA of Jaculus jaculus (lesser Egyptian jerboa), 105 nucleotides long. NCBI's taxonomy places the organism in Eukaryota, Metazoa, Chordata, Mammalia, Rodentia, Dipodidae. The record is from Ensembl.
GUUCACUUCGGCAGCACAUAUACUAAAAUUGGAAUGAUACAAGGAAGGUCAGAAUGACUCCUGGGCUAGCAUGACAUGAAAAUUCAUGAAGUGUUCCCUAUCUUU